CCCCUAGACGUUCUGGGCUGCACGCGCGCUACAAUAAUACGCACAGCGAGUAUCACCGAGCUCGAAAGGGCAAGGUAAACAAUAGAAAAGGUACUGUAAUGGUUAUAGAUCCUUGUAAUUAUUGAUCUUCAACGAGGAAUUCCUAGUAAGUAUGUGUCAUCAUCACGCACUGAUUACGUCCCUGCCCUUUGUACACACCGCCCGUCGCUCCUACCGAUUGGGUGAGCCGAUGAAACUCUCGGAUGUAGGCUAUUCAUAGCCCGCAGGAGAGAUUUGAAUCGUAGCGCUUAGAGGAAGGAGAAGUCGUAACA
This 311-nucleotide ribosomal RNA is filed under the name uncultured eukaryote. RNAcentral describes it as "partial 18S ribosomal RNA". It matches the Rfam family "Eukaryotic small subunit ribosomal RNA", at positions 1470 to 1796 of the family's 1831-position model. The record is from RNAcentral.